Long non-coding RNA from Monodelphis domestica (gray short-tailed opossum), 2507 nucleotides. RefSeq lists it as uncharacterized. The record is from RefSeq and is a predicted model, not a curated record. NCBI's taxonomy places the organism in Eukaryota, Metazoa, Chordata, Mammalia, Didelphimorphia, Didelphidae.
CUCGAAUGGGUCCCCGGAUCCCUUCUCCAGAAUGCUACUGCUCCAGAAUUCUUUAUUUCCACCUCUAUGUUUUGUUUUGUUUUGUUUUGUUUUUUCCUUUGGGCCAAGUCGCUGUCCGUCACGGGAGCUCUCGGCGGAGAUUGGUCCCCUGCAAUCUCCAAAUGUGUUGGGUUUAAUCGAAGUAAAGGCAGCCAAGUGUCUCUUAUGACCCUGGGCUCUUGACUACUUGGGGAAGGAAGGAAAAGUGAUACUAAGUGUUCCUCUGGGUCAAAUUGGAGGAGGAGACAAACGAAUCAGAAAAUAGAGACUUUGGGGGCAGAGCCAAGAUGGAGGAUUGAACCAGAGAUACACUGUGUCACCAUGAGAGUCCUCUCUGACCAAGAUUAAAAUAUCACCACAAAAUGAAUGCAGGAGUGAAAGAACCAACAAGGAGAUAGAGUGAAACAACUUUCAUGAAAAGAAAACCCCAAAAAAAUCAGAAAAUAGAGACUUUGGGGGCAGAGCCAAGAUGGAGGAUUGAACCAGAGAUACACUGUGUCACCAUGAGAGUCCUCUCUGACCAAGAUUAAAAUAUCACCACAAAAUGAAUGCAGGAGUGAAAGAACCAACAAGGAGAUAGAGUGAAACAACUUUCAUGAAAAGAAAACCCCAAAAAGUAGGUAGAGAUCAUCUGGGGAAAUGGGGUGAGCAGAAAGCAGAGCCAGCAAAAGGCUAUAGAAAGAAGGGAGGAGCAAGCCAAGGGCAAAUUCUCCUCCUCUACCAUUUACUAUCAAGGUUUAAAACCUAAGCCCAAGCUAACAUCCAUAUACUGAGACUGCCUGGGGAAAUAGUGAUACAAGCCAACCCACACCCCUUGAAAUUUCAAACCUUUGGAGAAGUCCAGAGUCCCAGUCCAGGGCAGUCUGGGCUGAGGAGGGCUGAUUUGUGUGGGCCAAGAGUGAAGCCAGUAUUUCUAGUUUGGGCUUGGGAUAAGGACAGAGUAUAUAAUUUGGGGUGGCUGAUAGUACCAAGUACUAAAUACUGAUCUUUCUGCCUAAAGCUCAGGGAGGAACUCCAAGACAGGGAAAUUAAGGGUGUGCCUAAUUGGAUCAAGUACACAGUAAGACCAAAAACUUGAGCAUAAGCAUAGGGCUAGAAUUUGAUCAGCCCCUGAACUGAUCAAGAUUAGAGUGAAAUCAAACCUUAUAUCCAAGUCUGAGGCAAAUCUCAAAGCCAUCUGCAUCUUAAGGGACAACUGAAUAGGAGGGGGGCUCCCAGAGUUCUCAGCCCUCGGACCCAGAAAAUAAGCUGAGUAUAAUAUUAAGCAGGGACUGAAGUUUAAGAGGGUACCCACAUUUCCCAGAAAACAGAGCCUACCUAUAAUUAGAUAAGAAAAAUGAGCAAACAACCAAAAAAGCACCUGACUCUUACGAAUUUUUAUGGAGACAAAGAACAAGGUACAGACACAGAAGGGAACAAUGAAAGCAAAGGAAACAUGCCCAAAUUCCAAAAGAAAAAUAUAGAUUUGACACAAAUUCUCGAAGAGCUCAAAAAAAGACUUCAAAAACCAAUUAAGAGGAGAGAAAAGUGGGGAAGAGAUAUGAAAGUGAUGCAGGAAGACAGGAAAGUGAUGUAAGAAGAAAUGGACCAAUUGAAAAAGGAGAACCAAAAACUAACAGAGGAAAAACCAGGCCUUAAAAAUCAUAUUUGACCCUCUAGAAAUGAAUGAUUUCAUGAGAAAUCAAGAAACAAUAAAGCAGAAUGAAAGGAAUGAAAAACAGAGGAAAACAUAGAAUAUCUUAUUGAUAAAACAACUGACCUAGUGUUAAAAGAGUUUUCUUAAUUUCUCCCCCUGUCUCUUUAAAAAGAAUAUUUUGAAGUGGGCUUUUGCCUCUGGAGUUUCAGAGAGUGCAGGAGCUCCAUCUGUCUUUGUCUCAGUGAGACUGGCAUUUGGAGUUUCUAACUGACAAUUGAGGUAAAGAAAAUGGAUUUAAGGAGUUUGGAGUUUGAUUAAUGUUUAUUGAUUAUCUUAGGUAGGUAGAUUGUGAAUAUAAUCUUAGCAGACAGUAUAGUUAAGAUAGGCCAGGCCUGGCCCAGACAGAAACACCUGCCCUCAAAGGCAGUUAGAUUAGGGUUUUCUUAGAAAUUUUAGUUAGUAUUGGGAUUUUAGGCCUAGUUAUAAGAUAUUAGAGUAAUGUUUUCUCUUUCCUUCUUCCUAUUUCCUAUCCGAACUUCUCCUCAAAAAUAAAAUAAGUGUUUUGUGUUUUACCAAAGUGCUCUCCUCACAUUUUGUCAAACUCCUAUACAAGAUUUAACCCUUCAUACUAGAAAAAUAGAUCUAGGAGAGACGAUUUGAGAAUUAUUGGACUACCUGAAAGCCGUGAUCAAGAAAAAACCUUGAUCAUCAUAUUAUAAGUGUAAAAUUAGAACUUGAACCCCAGGACUCUAAAUCCCAACUUCCCAUGUUCCUUCUCACACUAAAUCCUUACAUUUUGGAGAUAAAGUUUUUAUGUAACCCUGCCCCUCUU